AGUGAACGCUGGCGGUAGGCCUAACACAUGCAAGUCGAACGGCCGCACAGUAAGAGCUUGCUCUUACGGGUGGCGAGUGGCGGACGGGUGAGGAAUACAUCGGCAUCUAAUUUUUCGUGGGGGAUAACGUAGGGAAACUUACGCUAAUACCGCAUACGAUCUACGGGUGAAAGCAGGGGAUCUUCGCACCUUGCGCGAUUGAAUGAGCCGAUGUCGGAUUAGCUAGUUGGCGGGGUAACGGCCCACCAAGGCGACGAUCCGUAGCUGGUCUGAGAGGAUGAUCAGCCACACUGGAACUGAGACACGGUCCAGACUCCUACGGGAGGCAGCAGUGGGGAAUAUUGGACAAUGGGCGCAAGCCUGAUCCAGCCAUACCGCGUGGGUGAAGAAGGCCUUCGGGUUGUAAAGCCCUUUUGUUGGGAAAGAAAAGCAGCAGGUUAAUACCCCGCUGUUCUGACGGUACCCAAAGAAUAAGCACCGGCUAACUUCGUG
RNAcentral lists this ribosomal RNA (492 nucleotides) under uncultured bacterium. RNAcentral describes it as "partial 16S ribosomal RNA". It matches the Rfam family "Bacterial small subunit ribosomal RNA", at positions 29 to 507 of the family's 1533-position model. The record is from RNAcentral.